GAAAUAAAGGGACACAUUUGGGAGAUAAGCUCAGCUGACUUGGGAAAACCAUUUCGACUCUCUGAGUGUUAGCUUCCCGGCUAUCAAAUCGCUGGUAAAAAUGUUCAUUCCUCAACCCCCUCUAGUUCUAAGGAAAAAAAAAAAUCAUGGCUUUAUGACUUUUUCAAAUCCCUAGCAGCUAACACUAAAAGAUCCUUUGGUUAAUACUCAGGGACCAAAGUCACCUAGGAAAUCUUAACCAUGAGUCAAAGCUUGGGAGGGUCAGCUGAGGGUAAAUCCAGUGAGUCGUGGCCUUGCACUCCCUUGCCCCAUAAGUGGUCCCUACAGGGCAGGGAUGUUUGGGGGUAUCUAGACUCUCCCUAACCUCAGCCAACUCAUCACUCCUUUCCAGAACUUCUGGUGCUGGUGGCCACCUGGGAUCUACCUCUAAGUUCCUGCUGCCAGACUGGCCCAUGGAACAUUCUCCCUGUGAUGGCUGUCCUGGCUGCCCAACUAGAAGGCUCCAGGCCAAAUCUCCAAAUGAAAUCAGGCCGGGGAGAAAUGAACAACCGAGAUGCACAAAACAAUGUGAAGAAGAAACGAAUAAUAAUAUAAAAAAAAAGGUGAGAGUUAUUUUUCAGCUCACUGGCUUUCUGAAAAGUAAUAUAAAGUUGAGCAGCGUCUUCUUGGAAUCGACCUUUCUGAGCCGAGACCCAGGCCACACGCACGUCUCUUUCCUCUCUUUCUAUUACCCGAAAUUUGUAUGGUUUCAUCUCCUCUGAUUUUCUUUCCCUUUGUGCGCCUGUGCAAACCCCUUGUGUCAGGGGCUUGUUCCUAACCCUGCAGCCCUGCCAUGCCGGAAUGUGUCUCCCGGGCCCCCCGCAGGGCUGAGAAUUGAGAGCCUCCUCUACAGCUCCCCCACCAAAGUUGAGGCCUUGCCCCCCACCCAGCUCUGUCCUCCUCCCUGCCCAGAAGAGGCUGCAGCCUUCCCCCUCCCCGCCUCCCCCACAACGGCCUCCUGGCCUUCUUUGUUCCAGAGACAGUUCUCUUGCACACUGUUCUUUGAAGCAGAGCUGGAAAGGGAAGGGUGGAUGGACCCAGGGGUGCAGGCUCCUGGUGCAGGGAGGGCCGGACGAUGCUUGGUGAGCGUACGAGAGAGCAGGUGAAUCC
This 1149-nucleotide long non-coding RNA is filed under the name Felis catus (domestic cat). RNAcentral describes it as "lncRNA (ENSFCAG00000044955.2)". The record is from RNAcentral. Lineage: Eukaryota; Metazoa; Chordata; Mammalia; Carnivora; Felidae.